This is a long non-coding RNA of Xenopus laevis (African clawed frog), 6883 nucleotides long. RefSeq lists it as uncharacterized. The transcript has 2 exons. The record is from RefSeq and is a predicted model, not a curated record. NCBI's taxonomy places the organism in Eukaryota, Metazoa, Chordata, Amphibia, Anura, Pipidae.
UUGGCAACAAGUAUGAGGUACUGUUUUAUUAUUACAAAGAAAGAGUAAACUGGAACUAUUUCAGAAACUUUUGGGAUAAUGGGUUUUCAGAUAACAGAUCCCAUACCUGUAGUAGUAGUAGUAGUAGUAGUAGUAGUAGUAGUAGUAGUAGUAGUAGUAGUAGCAGCAGCAGCAGCAGCAGCAGCAGCAGCAGUAGUAGUAGUAUUACAACACUCAUAUAACCAAAACACAUUGGUGGGACUGAAAACUUUUGCAAAGAGCAAAGGUUCCCUUUUUAGUAAUAGAAUUACAUCUAUUUUCCUCCAUAUUUUAUUAUGGAUUGGUCUUACUUGCAAAACAUUAUUUUACUUAUCUACAUUACAAUAUUUGCCUUUAUCUUCAUUGAUAUUUCUUUCCCCUCAGGCAGUGUUUGCAGUGUUGACAUACAUGUGGAUUGGCAAACUGAUCAAAUACUGUGUAUAACUAACAACAGUGUGGCCCCAUCCUGCUCUGGAUUGGCAGAUGUACUGAGAGUCUUUGAGAUUUUCUAUUUUGGUCAAUCAGCAACAGAAUGUGAUCUUUCUCACUGGGGCCCCAAUACAGAAUGAUGUUUAUCUAAUUCAGUGGCAAGGGACUGUAUUGAAUGACCUAGUUACUGUAUGUCAGGUGUUUUUAUCUUAGAACACCUCAUCCUGAGCCAUGGUUAGAUUAGCUUUCCUCAAAUGUAGUGUCUCUGUUGAUAUAUAUCAAAUGAGACUGUAUUAAGGUUUCCAUUUACUUGAACAUAUAAUAGGCUCUCUGUUUGACAUCAGAAAUCCAAAAGAUCCCUAUUUCUGGUUAAACUUCUACUAAAAAAAGAUAUGAAAUGUUUUUGUUUCUCUUGGACGUUUUGGUUACAAAAGUCAGUUGUGGCAUUUGUGAAAACUUUUACGAUGGUGACUUGCAGCAGAUUACAAUAGGAAUUGAGAAUCUUCUUCUAAAAUAAGUCAGUUUGUUACUAAGCCUUGGGUAAACUUACUUUUUCUAUGGCAUCCUAUGUAACGUUCUACCCAUAAGUUGUCUACAUUAUCAUUGACCUCUGUGAUUAAAUAAUCAUUUAAAACUUAACACCAUUUGUAUUUUUCCACACCAUCCAAGUCAGUUAUUCCUUUAAAUUGAUGUUUUAUAUUCAAGCGUUCAAUUCUCAAAUCAGUCCGUGAUGACAUUUACAAUCUAAUUUAAUUAUGACGAUAAGCAGGAGUCAUUUAAAUUGCCUUUAUGUUUUAGGUAGUUGCUUACCUGGAGGAACCCCAUGCAAAUACAGGAAGAAGAUACAAACUCCUUAGAUAGUGUCCGGUUUGAUAAAGAUGAUAGUGUCCAGUUCGUAAUCGAAUCCAGAAGCCCAGCACUUCAAGGCAAAGAGAGACCUGAGCCACAAUGAUACCUUGCAAAGCCAUACAUGGAAUAGCUUCAUUUUCCAAAUUUACCCUGUUAAACUCAAGAAAUAACAAAAAAUACCACACAUGUUCCUGAUGGAAACAAUAGGCAAAUGUAUGUUCAGUAAAACCCUAUGCAUUGCAAUUGUGUUUAACGUGGUGGUAUACUACUCCUUUACAGGAAACAUUUAGAGCCAGUUGGUACCUACUUAACAAGAUAUUUUUGCAAAAGGGUUUUUUUCCAAAUUGGUAAUCCCUCUAUUAACAUGCAUUGUGUUAAUUUAAAUCCAAUAGUUUAAUUUUCAGGGAUUAAAGGUUCUGUGGUGUGUUAGACUCCAGCAAAAUAUAUUACAAAUGAUUGAAAGACUACUAUAGUUUAUAUGCUGUGUAACCAUGGGGUCAGCUAUUCAAGCUGCAAAAAAAGGAGAAAAAAUAAGUAUAUAAUGUUAUAAAAGAUCAUGAAGCUACUACUCUGUCGAUGGCAGUGAAAGGGUCAAUUUGGCUCUUUAGCAUCAAUGUCCACCUUGAGAAAUGAUUCUGCUGUGGGCGACUGUUCUCAAGACAUUGUAUUGAUCUAAUGCUUUCUCAGCCUCCCUGGAGCUAGAGAGAGGACGGAUAAAAUGGAUGGAACGAGUGUGCCACAUCAGGAACCAUUCAGCAAUAUAUCUCUCACAAUUACUAUAGAGCAGGGAGCAGCGUGUGUACGUGAAUAAAUAUUUCUGAUAUUCAACAGAUGAAACAGCUUUAAAUCAUGUGUUCUGCCAAAAUACGCUACUUAGAGAUAAUAUUGUUAUAUUAAUCAUGGAUUUAUGUUUAUGCCCUAAAACGAAAUUCCUUAGCACAUUUCUUUUAUAAUGGAUUUAGCUUUAACAUGAAUAACCAUGACUGAGAACAACAGGUAUAUAAGCAAAGUUUUCUCACUUUUUUCAGAGCUAAACAUAUGGGUUUAUUUGUUAGAAUUCAGUUAUCUUCUCAUGGGGCCUAUUCACACAAGUCACUUUUGUAGCUCGCAAAAGAAAUAAAAAUACAUUUAACAUAUGAUCUAUAUAUUUGAUUUUGAUGCUUGGUUUACUGUAUGGUGAUUAUUUUAUUUCUUAAUUAUAAAAAACAACAGAGUAGAACAGACUAAUGGCAACAUGGUAGCACAGUAGUAAGCAUUUCUGUCUUGAAAUAUAGAGGGGUUUCAUACCAACCAGGGCACUGUUUCAGGGAGUUUCUAUAUUCAGCCUUGCUUUCUUGCAUUUUCUCCAGUUUAUACAGACCCUAGAGUGUGUAUAUCAAAAUUCCUGUAGCAGUGAUUAAGGAGUGAUUAAACAUUUUCUGCAGGACGUAAAUUAAAAAAAUAGCAGUUUAUAGUAGAGGGACUAAUGUAGUUGUCUUCAAGCAUAGUGUCAGAGACACAGGGAUUCCCAAAGGAAGAGCCCAAAAGUUUGCAUGCAAAGCAUUGUAUGUAUCAUGUUCUAUCAGAUCGUGAAAACAUAUAUCUUUGAAUACCAGAGCACACUUGUUUCUGUAAGGUCAGUGUGCAGACUGGUGCUAUUGUCCUGCUAAAGCAUGUAUUUAUUUUUCUGGAACUGGAUACCUAUUAUUUCUGACAACACAGGUGCACCAUUCAAUUCUUUUCUUACUUUUCUAGGACCAAUGUUAUUGUUAAAAACAAACAAAAAAAACCAGCCUGUAUUAAUUCACAGUUAAAGGAUAUUGACAGCAGACAGUGGCCAUAUCCCACCCACCCCCAACUAAGAAAAAUCUUACCUCCAAGUGUUUACAUUGUUCUGAAAACAUCAAUACUUAUAUAGUCCAAUUUGAUGUAAAUCCUUUUAAUGACCUAGAGGUGAUACCCUAUGCAUGUGACUGCUGUUUGUACCCUUUGGAAAAUAAGCCUCAAAAUGUAACUGUAAUAUAAUGAAACUAAUUCAAUAGCACUUCAAGAUCUAAGGGGUUCCUCUGCAUUUUGGAAGCUCUGAUCUUUAUUUUUUUUUCAUUCAUUCAUUCAUUCAUUCAUUCAGGGAACAUGGUAAUAUGGUUAACAAUAGAUUGCAACCUGUGUCAUUAGAUUUGUGGAGCACAAUUAUUAUAAAUUAUAUUGAAUUUCUUCCUAGAUUGCUUGGAACUUGUCCGUUUCCAGCUAACGGGUCUUUCUGUAAUGUGGAGCUCAAUGCCUCCUAGCUUCAAUAAAUCAAUAUUAAAAAAAAACAAAAAAACAAUGUAAUUGUUUUCAAUGUGGAUAUAUAAUAGAUUAGUUAACAUCAAGUAUAAGCUGUCCAAAGGAUGAACUGUUUAUUUGGAUAUGUCAUUAUGAAAAAUUGCAGUGCCGUAUAUCUGAAUUUUCUGGAUCACAGGUUUCCAAUAUUUGGUUCCAUACACAUAUUAUUAUUAUUAAUGAUAAUAAUGAUUAAUGUUUUUAAAAUGCCAACAUAUUUUGAAAUCCAACUCCAUAGCAAUUCAGUGAAAGUGGUUUUAAUAUAUUAAAAGGCCACUAUGCCAUUUAUUCUCUGAUUAAUUUCUUCAUGCUUUUAAGAGUUACUUUUCUUAAAUGAUAAUUUGAACCCAUCCCAUAACUUGUUAAAAUUCCUUUCUCUGCUGCUGUAACCUUUUUUAUAUGCUAAUUCUAAAGGGGCAACAUUGUUUGUUAUGCAAUAAAAAAAAUGAUGCCUUGCUGCUUGUGUAUGUCUACUUUGUUUACUGCUGACUUCUCAGCCACCGCCAAAUAAAUACACCUUUUUAAAAGGCAUGAAUUAUCUCCUUGAAUUUACAAUGCAUAACAAACAAUUGCAUAACAAAAGGGAGGAAGGGAGGAAAUUCAUUCAGGUAACACAUAAGGUUAAGGUAACACAUAAGAACAGCCUUUUUAUUGUUUUGAGAAGGAGUUUAAACAUGCCUAUUAAGACUUGAUAUAGCAUUUUGAAAAAAAUAUUUUAAUUUAUGUACUAUUGAUACUAUUCAUUAGGCCCAACUGCAAGUCGCAAAGCAUCCAAUUUGGCAUGUUAUAUUGGCAUGGGAUCUAAUAUUUUGAAAUCUGUGCAAGAAAUUCAGUCAACUAUAAUUCUUCCUAGCUAUGAAGGAUUUGAAAUAUAUAUUUGAAUAUAUAUGCACACUUUUCAUUACUUGUAUUUCCCUCUUCAUUGCAGGGGGAGCAUCUGAAUAUAACUUGCAAGCAUCCUGUCAUGUCUUAAAGGUGAUUUCUCUUUCUGCCAGGAAAGAAAAGGAAUUGAUCAAAACACAGCUGCAUCGAAGAUCUCGGGUCUUUAAAAGGUGCCACAAUGCUUGGGAGUAUCUGCCUGUACUUGAAUACAAAGGGUUAUAAUUAAACAAGACAGAUAUCAUAUGGAUGCUAAUUCGACAUAAAUGGAAAACAACUGCUUAAAAAUAAAGUUUGCGGGUUUUAGGCCAAUUCAGCCAUUGUCUAAAUGUAAGAAGUUUUGUAAAUUACAAAGGGAUUUAUUUAUUAAAGUUAAUUUACAUUUCAUCUAACUGCAGUUGCCCAUUAGUGAAAACACUUUUUAAUCUACACGGACAAUUCAGAUAUGUUUGUUUAGUGAACACAUGUAUAAUUUAUUAAUAUUGGUUGCAAAAAGUGGGCAGACGCUGGUUAACAUUUCAAAUGAAAAACAAGCCUUUCAUGCAUGCAUAGAAAAAGUACCAAUAAAACCACCGUAUACUGUGUAUGCAGAUGGCCAAAUGACGUCUAUGUUAUUCAGCACUACAUCAUGAGGACUCUAUGGAUUCUCUGUCUCUAACUCUGGUUCUGUAGCAGUGUAAUUACCAAUAUUAUUAUAAUUAUUGUUCAAUGUAUGGCUAGCAGCGUUGGACUGGGCCUGCUGGACACAAGGAAAAACCCGGUGGGCCCCUGCCCCCAUGGGCCCUGCUAAACCAGGUCCGCUUCCUCGAAGGGGGAGGGAGGUUAAAAAAACACAGUAAUUACUGCAUGUAGGAGUGGAGAGAGAGUGGACGGUGGGCCCUUGAUUUCACGACGCCCCAGUCAGACAAUUAGUCUGCUGAAAAUAUCUGAUUGGUUGUUAUUAUUAACUAUAAUGGUACAGUUUAGCACCUAUGUUAGUAAAUUAGCCCUCAAGCUAACUACCAAUCAGUGCUUAGCUUCUUUCAGUCAGCUGCAGGCACAACAACGAAAGCAAACAUAUGAUUGGGUGCCAGUUUGCAAAUUGCUUAUAAAUAACUUAAUUCUAUACCCAUACCUUCUUUUCAUAGCAUACCUAUCUUUUUUCCAUUAGCCUUUUCAUUUCUUGCUCUUUUGAUACAAUUUUGCCUUAUUUUAUCUUCUGUGUUAGAAUGUCCAAACUGUAUUCUACUCUGCUAACUGUAACCUACUCCCCUACUUCAUAUAACCUAUUAGUAAGACUUCUCGAUAGCAUACUGCAGCAUCUGCUUUCUGUAGACUGUUAUGGUUCCUCCACCACUUCCUCCCUAUAACAUUCCCUUCUCUUACCUAUCCUUUUCUAAAUGGCAAUACAGCAGGGCCCCUUUGUGAUAUUGCCCAACUUUCAGCACUCCAGUUGUUGUUAAACAGCAGCUCCCAGAAUCCUAGCUUAAGCAUUGCAGUUUGAAUAUGCCUGUUGUAUAUACUGAAAAUGUCAAAAGGCUGGCAAACAUUAUACAACCUAUGUAUUCCUUUGUACUUUUGUCUAUGGGUUUCCCCUUAAGGCACCUCUCUGAUGAUGGGAACAAAUGCCGUCUGUGCCCUUACUAAGACCAGCCCUGUCUGAAGAACAUGCGAGUAUGCACUGCUGUGACACAACUUACACAUUUUUCAUUUAAAAGCUACAUAAAUAAUUUAUUUAGCUCAUUUCCACUUAAUACAUAUCCCACAUACUGUUCUGUGGUUUUACCCCACUUGCAGUUUCUCUGUUUGUUGUGUGGCUCAUUUCGGCCUGCGUUUAAAUGGUUACAUAUGACAGGAGUUGAGCAAUGCCUAUGAACGGAAGGUGUUUAUCAUACCAGAUUGGGCACACUUCCUCUCCUUUGAUAACAAACAAUCCAAACACACACUUGUAUGUCCAUUAUAUGUAAUUAGCUUUAUGAUUAGACAAAUUCCGUAUGAAAAAAAUGUUUAUUUCACAUUAUCAUUUCCUAUGCAGUCUACUGUCUAGGCCUUUUUUUGGUGACAUCAAUAAUUAUAUCCAGCUGUUUUUUACAGAUCAUCAUCAACACAUUUUUUUUUCUCCAAAUAAGUUUUCUUGUUUCUCUAUGAAAAAUAAUAAGUAAUGAGUAAAGAUUAUUCACAUAUGUUGGAUACCUUAUUUCUUAAAAGGGAAAAUAAACUCCCUUAAAGUAAUUGCUUUUUUUGAGGCCAGACCAUUUCCCUCUCCCUCUACAUAUUUCUGUUUGGACAUGAGUGAGAGCUUCCAUAUUGCACCAUAUUUUAAAUUACUCUAGAUUUAAUUAGCUUUUUUUUGGCCAUCCAUGUACAUUUUUAUAUCAAACUGAAAACACAACAACAGCAUUUAAUUCUGUUUGUUUCAACAGUACAA